RNAcentral lists this ribosomal RNA (711 nucleotides) under uncultured bacterium. RNAcentral's name for it is "bacterial SSU rRNA". It matches the Rfam family "Bacterial small subunit ribosomal RNA", at positions 122 to 866 of the family's 1533-position model. The record is from RNAcentral.
CCAUCUACCUUUUAGUGGGGAAUACCUCUGGGAAACCGGAGACAAUACCGCAUAAGCCCGCAAGGGGAAAGCAGCAAUGCGCUGAAAGAGGAGUCCGCGGCCGAUUAGCUAGUUGGCGGGGUAAUGGCCCACCAAGGCGAAGAUCGGUAGCCGGCCUGAGAGGGCACACGGCCACACUGGCACUGAAACACGGGCCAGACUCCUACGGGAGGCAGCAGUGGGGAAUCUUGCACAAUGGGCGAAAGCCUGAUGCAGCGACGCCGCGUGAGCGAUGAAGCCCUUCGGGGUGUAAAGCUCUUUCGACGGGAACGAUAAUGACGGUACCCGGAGAAGAAGCUGCGGCUAACUACGUGCCAGCAGCCGCGGUAAUACGUAGGCAGCGAGCGUUGUUCGGAAUUACUGGGCGUAAAGAGUGUGUAGGCGGUGCUCCCAGUCUGUUGUGAAAUCUCCCGGCUUAACUGGGAGGGUGCAGCGGAAACUAGAGUGCUAGAGGGUGGGAGAGGUAAGCGGAAUUCCUGGUGUAGCGGUGAAAUGCGUAGAUAUCAGGAGGAACACCUGUGGUGUAGACAGCUUACUGGACCACUUCUGACGCUGAGACACGAAAGCGUGGGUAGCAAACAGGAUUAGAUACCCUGGUAGUCCACGCCCUAAACGAUGCAUACUUGGUGUGAGCGAUUCAUUUCGUUCGUGCCGGAGCUAACGCGUUAAGUA